GCUGAGAUAGCUCAGUUGGUAGUGCAUGAGACUCUCAAUUCAAGUUUGUGGGUUUGAGCUCCACGUUGGGCA
Podarcis lilfordi (Lilford's wall lizard) is the source of this 72-nucleotide non-coding RNA. Lineage: Eukaryota; Metazoa; Chordata; Lepidosauria; Squamata; Lacertidae. The record is from the annotation of a GenBank genome assembly.